Molecule: long non-coding RNA, 1220 nt
Organism: Cyprinus carpio carpio
Lineage: Eukaryota; Metazoa; Chordata; Actinopteri; Cypriniformes; Cyprinidae
Source: Ensembl
UCUGAUUUGAGACUAACAGACAUUUUCCUCUUGGCUUUUCCAUCCCCACACAGUCAACCUCAAAUAUGCUCUAGCCACCCCGAGGAUAGCCUCAGGCUAAUAACGCUUGUGCUAAGCACCCACCAACUCAUAUACAACACAUGGCAGACUCAGAUAUUAAUCACUAUAUUAAGCCUCAUCUCACUAUUUAGUACAGCACAUGGGCAAACUCUAAUUCACACUAAUAGAUUUAUAACCCCCUCACACUAUGUGGUGAAGGGGACGUGUCAACAAAGACUGGAUCCAUAUGCUGGCUUUAUUCAGAAGCUUAGUCGAAGAGGCAGGGUCAAACACCAGAAAAACAGUCAAAUCCAAAGCACAGGCAAAGAGUACUCCAAUACACAGAUAAUGGGUCAGGGUAGGCAGCAAACAAUACAAACGAGGAAAGAGUCAGAGAUCAAAAACCACAAGAACAAGGAAACUAGGGAACACAGGAACUAGGAAAACGUAAUAGGAUAUCAUUCAAUCACCAGCGAUGUGAGGAUGUGUUUGUGCUGUUCUUAUAGUGUGAGGCCAUUGAGAGACAGGUGAUUGCAAUUGAUGAUGAGUCUGGGCAAAGGAUUAUGGGAAAUGGAGUCCAGGGUGAAGUGGCAAGAGUCUGAAAUGGAGUGCCCUCUAGCAAAUCUCACGGGCGCUUCUACUAGAGAAUCAUGACACACUAGAUUAUAGAUAGAACUCUAAUUAUUCAAUAUCGUCCGACAGAUUAAUCAACUUUAUUGACCCAGGAUGGAUUAUGUCCUGAGUGCCCCAUCAGACUUCUGCUGCUAUCACAAAUGUUUGGUGAACAGUAAAGGUUAAGGGAAAUCAAGGGAAUCACAAAAUAAAUGUAAAACAAAUGUGCCGCCCAUUUUGUUACACAUUUUGAAAUUGUAGUCAUUUCAUCUCAUACUUUACGUGUAUCUCUAUUCUCAUCUAUAUAUACAGUACAUUCAGAAUACUCAAUCUGUUGUAUUCAACUCUUCAUGCUAUAAAUUAUUCAAAGUAUGUAUGGCCUACAUAACCUUCAAACUUCAAGGCUUUUUAAAAAGGUUUUUUAAAACGAAAUCUUCAUCAAGCCAACAUAAAAGUUUGUCUUAAUACUAUUUCCUUUUCAUGUUUAAUAUAUUAUUGCCACACACUCAAGAACUGUUUGUCUCAAUUUUAUGUUUUUUCUGGCUUUUUUUCUAGAUGUCAGACUGACA